RNAcentral lists this long non-coding RNA (247 nucleotides) under Sarcophilus harrisii (Tasmanian devil). RNAcentral's name for it is "lncRNA (ENSSHAG00000024184.1)". The record is from RNAcentral. Lineage: Eukaryota; Metazoa; Chordata; Mammalia; Dasyuromorphia; Dasyuridae.
CGAAGGCAGAAGGUUCGCCGGCCCCCGGGCGGCCCCGGCCAGUGUGCGGGCGCAGCGCUGCGCGUCGGAAGCCGGGAGCCCGGGGCCCUGGAGCCGGGGCCGCCCAGACCGAGCAGCCUUUCCCUGCUCCCCGGCGAGGCCGGGGCCCGGGCCCGAAAACAUGAAUUACCUGGCCCCCAUCGUCACCAGCUGUGUUCGUACCAGGACUGUGCCAGGGAUCAGGCGUCUACGCCUGCGUUCAGACCCG